GCCUUCGUAGUGUAAUGGCUAGGGCACUCGGCGCGUAUUCGAGAAAUCCGAGGUUCGAGUCCCGGCGAGGGCA
This 73-nucleotide transfer RNA is filed under the name Stegodyphus mimosarum. It matches the Rfam family "tRNA". From Rfam's summary of the family: Transfer RNA (tRNA) molecules are approximately 80 nucleotides in length. Their secondary structure includes four short double-helical elements and three loops (D, anti-codon, and T loops). Further hydrogen bonds mediate the characteristic L-shaped molecular structure. tRNAs have two regions of fundamental functional importance: the anti-codon, which is responsible for specific mRNA codon recognition, and the 3' end, to which the tRNAs corresponding amino acid is attached (by aminoacyl-tRNA synthetases). tRNAs cope with the degeneracy of the genetic code in two manners: having more than one tRNA (with a specific anti-codon) for a particular amino acid; and 'wobble' base-pairing, i.e. permitting non-standard base-pairing at the 3rd anti-codon position. Lineage: Eukaryota; Metazoa; Arthropoda; Arachnida; Araneae; Eresidae. The record is from Rfam by way of RNAcentral.